Long non-coding RNA from Canis lupus familiaris (dog), 1800 nucleotides. RefSeq lists it as uncharacterized. The transcript is spliced from 4 exons. Lineage: Eukaryota; Metazoa; Chordata; Mammalia; Carnivora; Canidae. The record is from RefSeq and is a predicted model, not a curated record.
CGUUCGCGCUGCCACCCGCGACCCCGCGGCCGCCAGCGCUGCGGGGCGGCCGGUGCGGAACAGGCCGGAAACGUGCGGGUGGGCUCGGGGUGGCCGGGAUCUCCCCGUUCAGCUCGUCCAUGGCGGUGACCUCCCGUCACCCGUGACCGAGCCCGGGCUCUGGAAGGGGACGGCCCCGGGCCUGGGUCUGAGCGAAUCUUGAACCCAGGCCGCCAGCGGGGUAGCUCCCUCCCGAAGGGGAGACCCUGCGUGUCCUUAGCAAUGGUGACAGCCCAGUCGGGCGCUCCAGCGUUCCCUGGAAGGAGAGACUGUGGCCUCGGAGCACAGCGAGAGACACUAGCGGAAAAUGGUGUGGAACUAAGCAGCCCUGCAAAACCAGCCUGCAACGAAAACUUACAGAGGAAAAAUUAGCAUUUGUGUAAUGUACAACCAGAUGUGGUAGGAUCUCACUCAUAUUUAUAAUUAGGAAGUCAUUCACAUUAAAUAACUUUUUCUCAUUCGCUGAUCUGUGAAAUGCUGCUGAGAUAAUUUUCAGACUUCAUUAUAAAAUUUGUCCACUCCUGACAAAUGUCCUCCAUGGAGAAUUCAGCUCCACCAUAUUCCAGAGGAAGAAUGUCUGGGAAAUGCUGAAGUGAUUCUCAGCAAAAUAUCUAACAUCCUGAGACUGUUCUAGAGAUGAUAAAAAUAUACUACCUGGUAUUCAUUUGUAUGAAUUAAAAGCAUAUAUCUGCACAUAUAGCUAUGUAUAUGGUGAGUAAUUUAUGUAGUACAGCUGAUGGAUACUCUUGGCUAGUACAGAAUUAAGAGACAAUUAUGAUGGUUGAGAACCUUAAAUUUUCAAAUACUGUAAUCUAUAAAAAUUGAUCAUAUAAUGCCAAGAGGUUAAAAUAAAGACCUAGAACUUUCAGCUAAAAGUACAUCUUGCUAAAAAUAAAUAAGUGCCCUCCUUCCAACGGCUAGGGCAAAAUGUUCAUCUAUAUAUUCAAUGAUUAUUUAAAAGCAGUUACUAUAUGCUAGAAUAUGACAAUUGAAAGAUGAAUGAAACAAGGUUCCUGUUCUCGAGAACCUCACAGUCCCAAUUCUUGAUUUCUUCUGAAAUGUUUAAAAGAUCAUCAACUAAUUGAAAAAAAAAAUUCCACUAUCUCCUCAGAAAGAACAUUCACAGGAUAGUGCCAAAAUGUUGAAAGGGAAGAGAAUGGACUGGUUCCCCUGCUCCCUUAUUUUGACAAAUCUCUUUCAUGUCAAUUACCUUUUGCUGAAACGCUUCACCUGCCUUCUCAAUUUUUUAUUUUUCCUUCUUUUCUGCUUAUAUUCUAUUAAUUUAGAUUCCAUUUGUUUUUGUUUUUAUUUGUCCAGAAUGUAACCCAAAAUAGAAAUAACUUAUUUUUAGAUCUUUCAGAGUUAAAUAAAAUGUGGUCAGCUAUUAUCAAGCUACACUGCAGAGAGAGACAAAACUAAAGCCCCCCAAAAACUGACUUUUCCAAAAACACUAGAAUGAAGAGUGGCCAUUUUCAUAGGUGUGGUUUUUCUUAAAAACAGAUAGAAAUUCCUACUGGAUAACCUCUUCCAAUUAUCCUUUACAGAUUAAUGUAGAAGAGGGGCUGCCAUUCUUGGGAAUUCAGAUUUUACUUCGAAAAAUCCUAAGAGAUAUUAGAUAUCCACCGGAGAUAAGGCUCCACACGAUAUGUAAAAACAAAAACCAAAAAACCCCAUCAGGGGCAGCCCGGGUGGCUCAGCAGUUUGGCACCACCUUCGGUCCGGGACCUGAUCCUGGAGACCUGGGAUCGAGUCCCACAUCCA